RNAcentral lists this ribosomal RNA (439 nucleotides) under uncultured bacterium. RNAcentral's name for it is "bacterial SSU rRNA". It matches the Rfam family "Bacterial small subunit ribosomal RNA", at positions 355 to 786 of the family's 1533-position model. The record is from RNAcentral.
UAGGGAAUUUUCGUCAAUGGGGGAAGCCCUGAACGAGCAAUGCCGCGUGUGUGAAGAAGGUCUUCGGAUCGUAAAGCACUGUUGUAAGUGAAGAAUGCCAUAUAGAGGAAAUGCUAUGUGGGUGACGGUAGCUUACCAGAAAGCCACGGCUAACUACGUGCCAGCAGCCGCGGUAAUACGUAGGUGGCAAGCGUUAUCCGGAAUCAUUGGGCGUAAAGGGUGCGUAGGUGGCACGAUAAGUCUGAAGUAAAAGGCAACAGCUCAACUGUUGUAUGCUUUGGAAACUGUCGAGCUAGAGUGCAGAAGAGGGCGAUGGAAUUCCAUGUGUAGCGGUAAAAUGCGUAGAUAUAUGGAGGAACACCAGUGGCGAAGGCGGUCGCCUGGUCUGUAACUGACGCUCAGGCACGAAAGCGUGGGGAGCAAAUAGGGAUUAGAUACC